This 1854-nucleotide long non-coding RNA is filed under the name Lonchura striata (white-rumped munia). RNAcentral's name for it is "domestica (Bengalese finch) lncRNA (ENSLSDG00000002725.1)". The record is from RNAcentral. Lineage: Eukaryota; Metazoa; Chordata; Aves; Passeriformes; Estrildidae.
UUGCUCUUCUGUCACCAAGUCUUUAAAGCGGCCGUACAGGGACUCUCUGUGAAGGUUUUCCAUACGCUUCUGGAUAACAUGGCUGUAAGAUCUCUGUUCCCUUAUUCCAUUACAGCUUCCUUAGGCUUCUCCAACCUGAAGGCAGACAGAGCUGAUUUUCAGGACAGCUGCUGGGUUUGGCUUUAUUGUGGAUACAUUUUUCUCCCUUAGCCUUGUUUACUUCUCCCCAGACUUGAGAUAACAGGACAGUAGUGUCACCUUUAUCUUGUCUCAAGUUCCCUUAGGUGGCUUAACUCACAGUCCUGAAUUCCAGUCAGGAGGCAUUUUCAGGGCAGGGUGGGCUUGGGUGGUCUCAGCUUCUUUAUUCAGUUUUGUCACAAUGGGCAAAAAGUCUGCUAUAGCAAUAUUUAAGCCAUUUGCCAUAACAUUCCAGUCUCUCUCAAGUCCUGUGAGGAGCAGCUGAGAGAGCAGGGCUUGUUUAGCUUAAAGAAGAGGAGGUCCACUCGAGCUAUUUUUAAGUAAUAUUUAAGCUACAGCUUUGUCCUAGCUAUUAUUAAUGUUCAGCUUUUUAGCUCCAGGUUUCAGUAUGAGCCAUCUUUGAAUUGCACAACAUAGCCAUGUAAUUCAAAUAAAGUCCAGCUAGAGGCCUAACAAUAAAAGCUUGGCUAUUUAUGCCAAACAAGCUCUCGGCUACUUUCAAAUCAUAUAAAAUUUUUAGCACCAGUAUAUCCCUUGAAUCUGCCAUGAGUUGGGUUCUGGAUUUUCAGAGUUCCUUGUUGCUCCUUUUGUUGAGGCAUUGUCGCUCAUCUGUGACAUUCUCCCUUGAAAAUGGCUUCUGGAUUUCCGAGAAGGACACUGACGCCUCAUCUUUUGUCGCGGGAAAUGAUGAAAUCUUUAACUCUGCUUCCCUCUAAGUUCCUGAGGGAGAAGUUUGUCAGCACGAAGAGCAGCACUGGGGGGAGUAUUCUGCCCAGAAUUGGCCCAUCUCGAGACGUGAGUGGGCCUCAUCAAAAGGUAGCCUUUUCCUGCUCUUUUCCUUUCUCUUUGAAGUUUAAGAGGGUGUAUGCUUGUGACAGGCUUGCCUCCAGCAAAAUAGCUCAGUGUUCAGGUUCUAUUGUCAUUGCAAACUGCUGGUAGUGGUGAACAGGAGUCCUGAUCUGCACUAAGCCAACACAAAUAACCUCUGCUGAGGCUGCUGGGGUGUGCUGGAGUGUAGCUGCCAUUGCUCAUGGGAGGAAGGCUGGGGACACAAGGGCACCAAAUUGCCAUUUGCCAUUCUCCUGCUGAAAUGGCCACCUCUUGCUUUGGUGUGGUCACCAUGAAAUGCUCAGGGUCACAGGAUUUCUUCCAGAGUGGCAGCGUUGGCCUUUGAAGGCUGAGGAUCUGCAGUAAUUGCUUCAGAUUUAACAAAGUGCAAAAAUGGUUUGGGUUGGAACAAUGUGUUGGACCCUGACAGGGUGUUAGAUUUUGCAAGCUGCCAGAUGUGCACGGGACUCGCCCUGGGCAGAGGGGAAUGGAUGUGCUUUGUCUGGAUCAGUGCCUACAUAGCGGUGUGUUUAAAGCUGCUUUUCUGGUAGGACUGGCUCAGUAUAAAGCACAGUCCAAAGGGGUAGGUGACCGAGGUGGGCUGUUGAGCAGGAAAUUGGCAGCAGGAGACAUGUAACUCACUGGUUAAGGAUUGCCCUGGAGAGGGGCAUUGGGAGCACCUCAGGGGCAGGGUGCUGCAGCCAUGCCCUUUAGCAGACUGUGUCUCCCGUGAAGUCACGCAGGAGACCUGCUUGAGUCUCUGGAGUGACAGCAGUGUGGCUGGAGAAGGCAGACAAAGCAAUGUCUCUGCUCCAGAAGCAUUUGCUG